GACCCGCGGCGCAUUAGCUAGUUGGUAAGGUAACGGCUUACCAAGGCAACGAUGCGUAGCCGACCUGAGAGGGUGAUCGGCCACAUUGGAACUGAGACACGGUCCAGACUCCUACGGGAGGCAGCAGGGGGGAAUAUUGCGCAAUGGGGGAAACCCUGACGCAGCAACGCCGCGUGGGUGAUGAAGGUCUUCGGAUUGUAAAGCCCUGUUUUCU
RNAcentral lists this ribosomal RNA (214 nucleotides) under Clostridium botulinum. RNAcentral's name for it is "partial 16S ribosomal RNA". It matches the Rfam family "Bacterial small subunit ribosomal RNA", at positions 228 to 441 of the family's 1533-position model. Lineage: Bacteria; Bacillati; Bacillota; Clostridia; Eubacteriales; Clostridiaceae. The record is from RNAcentral.